Molecule: transfer RNA, 86 nt
Filed under: Paraplanobispora takensis
Lineage: Bacteria; Bacillati; Actinomycetota; Actinomycetes; Streptosporangiales; Streptosporangiaceae
Description: Planobispora takensis tRNA-Ala
Source: RNAcentral
CGGCACCUGGAGCGAGGAGAUCGUCGUGCCCUGGCAGGGCGCGAUCAAGGUCGACCCGGCGGUGCCGUUCGAGGCGGCGGCGCUGA